RNAcentral lists this ribosomal RNA (860 nucleotides) under uncultured bacterium. Its description in RNAcentral is "bacterial SSU rRNA". It matches the Rfam family "Bacterial small subunit ribosomal RNA", at positions 8 to 897 of the family's 1533-position model. The record is from RNAcentral.
AGAGUUUGAUCCUGGCUCAGGAUGAACGCUGGCGGCGUGCCUAACACAUGCAAGUCGAGCGAUUCUCUUCGGAGAAGAGCGGCGGACGGGUGAGUAACGCGUGGGUAACCUGCCCUGUACACACGGAUAACAUACCGAAAGGUAUGCUAAUACGAGAUAAUAUGCUUUUAUCGCAUGGUAGAAGUAUCAAAGCUUUUGCGGUACAGGAUGGACCCGCGUCUGAUUAGCUAGUUGGUAAGGUAACGGCUUACCAAGGCGACGAUCAGUAGCCGACCUGAGAGGGUGAUCGGCCACAUUGGAACUGAGACACGGUCCAAACUCCUACGGGAGGCAGCAGUGGGGAAUAUUGCACAAUGGGCGAAAGCCUGAUGCAGCAACGCCGCGUGAGCGAUGAAGGCCUUCGGGUCGUAAAGCUCUGUCCUCAAGGAAGAUAAUGACGGUACUUGAGGAGGAAGCCCCGGCUAACUACGUGCCAGCAGCCGCGGUAAUACGUAGGGGGCUAGCGUUAUCCGGAAUUACUGGGCGUAAAGGGUGCGUAGGUGGUUUCUUAAGUCAGAGGUGAAAGGCUACGGCUCAACCGUAGUAAGCCUUUGAAACUGGGAAACUUGAGUGCAGGAGAGGAGAGUGGAAUUCCUAGUGUAGCGGUGAAAUGCGUAGAUAUUAGGAGGAACACCAGUUGCGAAGGCGGCUCUCUGGACUGUAACUGACACUGAGGCACGAAAGCGUGGGGAGCAAACAGGAUUAGAUACCCUGGUAGUCCACGCCGUAAACGAUGAGUACUAGCUGUCGGAGGUUACCCCCUUCGGUGGCGCAGCUAACGCAUUAAGUACUCCGCCUGGGAAGUACGCUCGCAAGAGUGA